RNAcentral lists this transfer RNA (73 nucleotides) under Brachyspira pilosicoli 95/1000. RNAcentral's name for it is "tRNA-Thr". The record is from RNAcentral. Lineage: Bacteria; Pseudomonadati; Spirochaetota; Spirochaetia; Brachyspirales; Brachyspiraceae.
AGCCAACCAUGGGGAUCGAACCCACGACCCACGCAUUACGAAUGCGUUGCUCUACCAACUGAGCUAGGUUGGC